AUGCAGCGACGCCGCGUGGAGGAAGAAGGUCUUCGGAUUGUAAACUCCUGUUGUUGAGGAAGAUAAUGACGGUACUUAACAAGGAAGUGACGGCUAACUACGUGCCAGCAGCCGCGGUAAAACGUAGGUCACAAGCGUUGUCCGGAAUUACUGGGUGUAAAGGGAGCGCAGGCGGGAAGACAAGUUGGAAGUGAAAUCUAUGGGCUCAACCCAUAAACUGCUUUCAAAACUGUUUUUCUUGAGUAGUGCAGAGGUAGGCGGAAUUCCCGGUGUAGCGGUGGAAUGCGUAGAUAUCGGGAGGAACACCAGUGGCGAAGGCGGCCUACUGGGCACCAACUGACGCUGAGGCUCGAAAGUGUGGGUAGCAAACAGGAUUAGAUACCCUGGUAGUCCACACCGUAAACGAUGAUUACUAGGUGUUGGAGGAUUGACCCCUUCAGUGCCGCAGUUAACACAAUAAGUAAUCCACCUGGGGAGUACGACCGCAAGGUUGAACCUCAAAGGAAUUGACGGGGGCCCGCACAAGCAGUGGAGUAUGUGGUUUAAUUCGACGCAACGCGAAGAACCUUACCAAGUCUUGACAUCCUGCGACGAUGCUGGAAACAGUAUUUUCCUUCGGGACGCAGAGACAGGUGGUGCAUGGUUGUCGUCAGCUCGUGUCGUGAGAUGUUGGGUUAAGUCCCGCAACGAGCGCAACCCUUACUGUCAGUUACUACGCAAGAGGACUCUGGCAGGACUGCCGUUGACAAAACGGAGGAAGGUGGGGAUGACGUCAAAUCAUCAUGCCCUUUAUGACUUGGGCUACACACGUACUACAAUGGCGUUAAACAAAGAGAAGCAAGACCGCGAGGUGGAGCAAAACUCAGAAACAACGUCCCAGUUCGGACUGCAGGCUGCAACUCGCCUGCACGAAGUCGGAAUUGCUAGUAAUCGUGGAUCAGCAUGCCACGGUGAAUACGUUCCCGGGCCUUGCACA
Molecule: ribosomal RNA, 976 nt
Filed under: uncultured bacterium
Lineage: Bacteria
Description: bacterial SSU rRNA
Rfam family: Bacterial small subunit ribosomal RNA
Source: RNAcentral